This 468-nucleotide ribosomal RNA is filed under the name uncultured bacterium. Its description in RNAcentral is "partial 16S ribosomal RNA". It matches the Rfam family "Bacterial small subunit ribosomal RNA", at positions 28 to 507 of the family's 1533-position model. The record is from RNAcentral.
GACGAACGCUGGCGGCGUGCUUAACACAUGCAAGUCGAACGGAAAGGCCCUGCUUUUGUGGGGUGCUCGAGUGGCGAACGGGUGAGUAACACGUGAGUAACCUGCCCUUGACUUUGGGAUAACUUCAGGAAACUGGGGCUAAUACCGGAUAGGAGCUCCUGCUGCAUGGUGGGGGUUGGAAAGUUUCGGCGGUUGGGGAUGGACUCGCGGCUUAUCAGCUUGUUGGUGGGGUAGCGGCUUACCAAGGCUUUGACGGGUAGCCGGCCUGAGAGGGUGACCGGCCACAUUGGGACUGGGAUACGGCCCAGACUCCUACGGGAGGCAGCAGUGGGGAAUAUUGCACAAUGGGCGGAAGCCUGAUGCAGCAACGCCGCGUGCGGGAUAACGGCCUUCGGGUUGUAAACCGCUUUCGCCUGUGACGAAGCGUGAGUGACGGUAAUGGGUAAAGAAGCACCGGCUAACUACGUG